This is a long non-coding RNA of Passer domesticus (house sparrow), 1097 nucleotides long. RefSeq lists it as uncharacterized. The record is from RefSeq and is a predicted model, not a curated record. NCBI's taxonomy places the organism in Eukaryota, Metazoa, Chordata, Aves, Passeriformes, Passeridae. The transcript is spliced from 2 exons.
CAGAGGAUGGAUAGGGAGAUGUGAUCUGCUUGCUCUGCUUCUGAGCACCAGGAAUAGUGUGUUGUCUCUUUUAAAUGUGUGGGUUUUGGUCUAGUGCAGUUGGAGGCAAUGUAUUAGGUGGGAGCAGUGACUCUGCUGGCCCAGAGUGCAAGGACAUGUGGGGCCCUCCAUCCACUGGCUCUGCUCCUCCCCGAGGCACAGAGGGACAGGAGAAAAGACCCCGGCCUACAGCUCUUCCCCUAAAAACAGUGGAUUUAAAUCAGAAAGUUCCUAGAAAUGCUCCAAAACUAGAAACUCCCCAGUUCCUGCUGCCACCCUUUUCUUCUUGUGAAGAUCCCUCUCCUUGGAAAGGGCUGGGGAAUAUUGCAGCAGCUUCCAGCUGGGCUAUGCUCGGUGGGCUGCCUUGGCUGGGAUAGCUCAGUGGGCUCAGCACAGCGUCCGAAUUCCCAAGCAGCUCCCAGCUGCAGGCAACCUAAGCAAGCUUAUGUGAUUUCAGCUCUUAGUGAUUAUCAGCUCUUUAUGAUUUCAGCUCUUUAGCAUGCUGGUGCCACAGCAGCAGACGCAGGGAGAGAGAGGAGAAGGCAGUGUGAGGUUCCACAGAAUUCUUUAUUGCUCUACGAAGGUUCUCAGUGACGUUCUACCAAACCAGGCAGAAGUGCAUGUCACGCUGCAGGGGAACACCAGCAGGCUCAGUGUUGGGACUUGCCCUGAAACAGCUACAGAGGGAGCUCCCCUGGGAAUCGACAGGAGCUUAUCUGUACUUCAGGCCUCCUCUGGAACGUCAAAGUAACAUCUUGAGUUCAGAAGCCCUUAAUGAACACAGCAGACCAAAUUCUGCUUCAGAAUAUGCAAGUGCGGCUCCUAUUGAAGUAAAUGGGCGCUCUGCCUGCAUCUGAGAUAAGGAUCUGGCUUGUAGCAAGGCUUAAAGGGGUAUACACUGGGUUUUAAUGGACUGUCGCCUACAACAGAAGGGAUUUUUAAGCUAUUUUCAGUUAUUUCUAGUGUUGCAACAGAUUAUGUUUUCUUGUUUUGAUGCUACAUCUUCUGCAUACUGGUUUAAUAAGGCAUAGAAAUGGAAAUAAAGCAAUCCGACCAGA